This is a long non-coding RNA of Entelurus aequoreus (snake pipefish), 776 nucleotides long. RefSeq lists it as uncharacterized. Lineage: Eukaryota; Metazoa; Chordata; Actinopteri; Syngnathiformes; Syngnathidae. The record is from RefSeq and is a predicted model, not a curated record. The transcript is spliced from 3 exons.
CUUUCUCCGACUUUCUAGGACGUGUUUUAUGCCACUCCUUUUUCUGUCUCAUUUUGUCCACCAAACUUGGAAUGUUGUGCGUGAAUGCAAAAGAGCCCUUCUUGGGAGGGCACACAUGGAAAUGCCUGUUAUACCCAUUGGGAUCUUUUACUGCUUCCAUAAAUAGAUCCAAAGUUAGGAAAAUUUGGAUGGUCGGCAGCUUGGAUCAGUGGGAGGUCAACGCAUCUGCACAGAGACGCCAUUCUACACGACAAAACAGAUGGAAACUUGGAAAAGCAUGGAAAUCUACAACUUCUUUUGUGUGUGGCUCGGUCAAGGUAAAUAUGCAUUGUUUUUGCUCGGGUAAGGUUGUAUUUUAUGAUUUAACUUUGCAUCUACUGCCAUGUUUGUUGCCGUUGCACGCGCUGUUUACGGGUAGCGUGUUUUCCCAGUUUUAAUCAAAAUAUAACUAUACAUGUCAACAUUGCGUAUGUGCUGAAAGCUUCCUUUAUGAUUGUUGCCUUUGGUAAAAGCUUAACUCUUUUGGGUUUUGCACACAUUUGCUUUCUUUUAUUUAGUCUCGCCGAGUUGGUGCUUUUCGAAACACUCGUCGCGUUCCAUAUCCACAGUAUAUAUUAUAUAUAAUGCUUGAUCUUAGCGCCGCUUUCGAUACCGUCGAUCAUAAUAUUUUAUUAGAGCGUAUCAAAACACGUAUUGGUAUGUCAGACUUAGCCUUGUCUUGGUUUAACUCUUAUCUUACUGACAGGAUGCAGUGCGUCUCCCAUAACAAUGUGACC